AUGCACCUGAGCUAGUCUGGAUAUAUUCCUUAAAGGAGACAAGAACUUUUUUGUGCAAAAUGAACUUUUGUGUAGUUUGACAUCUGCAUGCAGUGAACUGUCUCACUUAACUUUUUCAACUUUGGGCAAAGAUAUACAUAAACCAUAGAUAAUAGACCUACAGUACAGCUGUUUUCAUGUUGCGUUAAGCACUGGAAGACAUUAACAAUGACUUACCUUAAAGUAAAAGGUUCCGUGAGGGGUAUUUAGGGCCACUGUAUUUUUGGUGCCACAAUUUUCUACAUUGUUGGCAUUUUAAAAGUUGUUUUCUAAAUGAACUUAAAGAAAGAAAGCUCAAAGCCCUAAAGUUUUGAUCAAAUUCAAUAGAGUUUUCAGAAAAAAAUACAAUUUUAAGAUAGCACUCUUUAAACUAGAUGUGCAAUGACUUAUUCAAAUUAUCUUUAUUCAAGAAAAGAGAAAAGAAGAAAGAUAAGUCAUUAGACUAUAAAUUUCCAUUUAAAAAGACAAGUCACAAAACUAAUCAGUGACUCUAAACAAAAAUUUACUGGAUGAAUUGUAUAUAUAAAAUUCUAAUCACUUAUGAUUCUUAGUUAACAUUUUAUAAGCUUUGUAUUUUACAGGGGCCUCUAUUUAUCCAAAUUUAUUGUUUUUGUCCAUUUUUCUCAGCCUUUUGCAAAAAAUAUGCAAGAGUGCUGAAACUUGGAUAAAACGGGUCAUGUAUACAGAGAAAAUAAUCUAAAAGUUAUCUUUAAGAGGGUUUUAGUAGUGUCAACUUUUUAAAAAAGUACUAUGUGACCAUAACAUACGUAUAUUUUAAAGAGGGAUUAAGAUUAAAUUAAAAUAAAUGGAUUCAUAAAAUUGCUAUUUAAAUACAGUAUUUACUUUUGUAAUUGAAGCAUGAUUCCACAACCAGCUGUGGCAUUUUAUUUCACUUUUCUAGAUCAGAGGCUUUAAUUUGUAGUUAAUCAUGAUGUGGAAAGUCAUCUUCUCUCUACUCCAUCAAUUUUUUUCAUCCGUUUUUGAACAUGCUGAAGCACUUUGAUCUUGCCAUAAGUGUUGUCCUAUACCACUAGGUGGUGUUCACUAAUGGGAGGGCCUCAGCUCACCGGCUCUCCAAUUUGGGAAAAAGCAAGUACCUCCUCCCUACCAUCAGCAGAAACUGAAUGAAAUUAAUCUUUGCAACUUGAAUCUGUUUUAAGUAGCAUUACCAAUAAGCAUAGUGGUAUCUGAAUAAGGAAUGACAUUUACAUUACAUUUUAUUAAAUAAGAGAGAAAGUUAAUGUGCUACUUGAAAUGUUAUUUGGUUCUUUGUCCCCCUCAUUGCAGAGUAUAGAUAAGGAUGCUCUUAGGUAAAAUGCAGCCACAAGUUUUCCGAGUUCCUUUAGUCUGUAGGGUAGGCUAUGAGGUACAGAAUGAUUAGAAACUGAAAUCCUCAUUAUUUUUCUCUCAAAUACAUUUCACAUACAUUGAAACAGAAAUAGGCAAAAUUUAUGAGGGAAAUCUGAUUUCCCAAUUCUGAUGAAUAGAUAUACUAAGACAGUAGCCUUGUUUAACCAGUGCCUGUAGAAGGCACUAGAAUAAAUAGCAUGUCCAAGAGUAUAACAACUUUUUUUGUAAAUUUAGUUACUAGCCUAAUCAAACUGUAAAUAUAACUCACUAAUUGGUACCAUAUUUUCAUUUUUCUUAUUGUUCAUCUUUAAGGUUUCAUUUUAUUGCUUUUUUGUAGCUCUAAGUAACUAAUCAAUUUAAUUUCAAAGGAAAGUUAAAGAAAGUUUAAGCUUUUACUGCAUGGAUUCUGCCCGCCUAGCUAGGUUCUGAACUGACACUGAAGUAUGACAAGAUACAGAUUAUAGUCCAAAACUAUCCUUUACAGUUCACAAUUUAAGAACAAAUUUAACUUUAUAUACAAAUAAUAAUUGUUAUCUAAUUAUAUUUAGUUGUUGCUUUGGCAACAAAAUUACAACAUGGCUACCUUUAGACAUUUGUGUAUGUGAACAUUUUACUUGUAAACUAUAGGUGAUUUGUGACAGUAUGAGCCUGUAGAAAAUACAGCUCAAAACUAUGAAAACAGACAUGGUUGAGUUCUUUUUUAAUCCCAAAGGCCCAUAUAUAAAAGCUGAAUUUGUGUCCUUGUGUGACUUUUUGUGAAAAAGUUUAUAACACAUGGAUUCUAGAAUCAGGCUUUAUAGUUUAUAGAAUUUGUUGUGUGGAUAGGGUUAUUCCACAGUAUUUAGACUUCAAAACGCAAUCAUUGCAUUUUUAAUACAUUACCUAACUUUUUUUAUAACUUAAUUCAAAAUUACCCCAUUCAAGUGGCAUAGCUGUAGCUGCAAAAAUUCUGUUUUCUGGAAUUACAUGAGCAAAUAUAGCUAUAUGAGGAUUAAUGUAUGACUAAAGCCUCUUUUGAAAUUAAUUCAUAUUUUUAAAACUAUACAUAAAGAUACUGUGGAAUGACCCCUUAACAGUGUUUAAGAAACAUAUGCUGCAGUUAAUUGACUGUCUCAGUUAGGGUGCGGAUGUGUGAGACACACCUUUUUUGCACUUAUGUACAUAGUCCAUGAAAGCAAUCCUUGGAGCUUUUUUUAAAUGUAAGAAGUCUGUGAUAAUAGUGGAAAAGUUAGUAAGAGAGAGUUAUUUCUAAGGCUUUGAAAAGGAGGGUGUUUUUGCUCUAAGACUUAACUAAAGCAUAAUGUUGCUUUGCUGUUACGGAGGCUUUCUAGUUUGCUACAGGUCACCAAAAGAGAAGGCUAGUAACAGGUAACAGGUCAGCCUCAGCUAACAGCACUGAACAAGAGUAGAAUAACUUCAUCUUUUAACAAGAUCAUUAGCAAAGAUUGUUUGCUUUUUAAAUUAAUCCCCCCUAUAAACACACACACACGUGUGCACACACACACACACACACACACACCGGGCAGUUUCUAGAACAAGUUUUCCUUUUUCAGUGGUUGUAAGCAGUGAAAUACCUCAUGUAUUACAAGAUAGAUAUUACCGUUAUGAUAGAAUAAGAUUUCAUCUUUCACAGAAAGUGAUCAGCUGAUAUAUGUGUCAGUUAAAAUGUUUAUCAAUUAAUAGGUAUUUAAGUGACAAAUUGUUAAUGUUGACCAUUGUUCCUCCUUUAAGAUCCAGUAACCAAAACCAAAUCGGUAACCAUUGAAAGAUGAUAUUUAACAGUUAAGGAUGGCCAGCAUAGGGCCGUUCAUUCCCUUCAACAAAGGGAAAAAAAAUGCUCCUGGCACAACUUUAUAACUGGCUUCAUUUACAUUAUACCUGUUCAGUGGAAGCUGUUUUUUGACCUACCUUUACCAGAUUACAAAGUAGUUAACUGUGCCACUUCAGCCUCCCACUGUUUUGUUUUAACUAAACAGAAGAGAACCAGCCAAAAUCUUACGUAACACAGGAGCUGGAAGACAAUGUUUCAAUCUGACCAUCUCUGCCAAUUUUAGCUCCCACGCCACCUAUAGAUAGCCAGUUAACUUUCUUUUUGCCCCCAGGCAAUGAGGCCUAGAAGAGGUCAAGGUUAGAAAGGUUAAGCAUUUGAUCACUACAGGUACUUGUAGUACCUAGAGAAGGAACCCAUCCUGGGGUUGGUGGAGUUGGUAUUGCUACUCGUUUUGAUAGUUCUCAUUUACAGAGAAAGAAAAAUAAGCCAAAGCCAGAAAGCAAUCCAAGCCUUACAGUUGUCCAAUACCUCAGGGCCAGUUGGCUAGAAUUUUCUUUUCCCUCAGCCCAUAAUCACUUAGAGUUAGCCAUACAACAAACAGCCUGACAAUCUGACCAGCAUUUCCAUUGAUAUAAAAUGUAAGCAUUCCUUCAUUCUGUAGUUAGGAACUCCAACUUCAGCCUUAUCUCCAACAUAAUUUCCCAAUUUAACCUAUGUACUGAUAUGGACAUUUCUUUGUGAAUAUGCCAGAUUCAAGAAUGUAUUUUUCUAAGGUCAAUAGAGAUACGACAUUUUAAGUCAGGAAAAAUCACCUAUAAAUUAGUAGGAAUAACUGUAGAAGCAUCACAAAAGAUACCCCAUGAAUAGAUGGCAUGGUGUGCAUGCUGACAGCCACGGGGUCAUACUCUGGAGUUUCAACAUAGAGGCUGUGUUUCAAUAAAUAAGACAAAUUGGGGAAUUAAGUAAAACAAAUGGAUGUAACUGAGGCCCCCCCCCAAAAAAAGCCCUCUAUUACUAACCUCAAGAAAAUAUUUAGUUUGACUAAUUUGUGCAGUUUCCAGCUCUUCUACUUGUUCUUGCCUGUAAGAGAAUCACUAAUACUCAAAAGCUGGAUUAUUGAAGAGAAAUUUUAUCUUUAAAUAGAAUCCAUCCACAAUUAUGGUAUAUGUAAAAAAAAUGUAUGACUAUGAAAUAAGUCGCAGCUCUUUGCAGAUAUUGCAAAAUCCUUGCUAGGCAUCUACAUCAUAUUAGUUUUUUAAAAAAUACCUCUGUAACAAGACCUAAAAGUAACCUAACUAUUAAGCAGUGCUUUUUUCUCUGAAAACACACAACCUAAAGAUUUAUCUGUCAUAAAACUGCAUGGUUCCAGAGCUUUAUUUCUGUGUAGAGAUGCUAUUUGUUAGUGAUGGAAACAAAUUACUUUGUUGCUAUGUCUUUUGUGUCUAGCAGUUGAGAGAAUGAUAUGACCAUCAUAUCACUGGAUUAUGGGAAUGAAUGCCCUUUUCAAAAUAAACUUAUUUAUUAAUAUUUUAAUAUUAUUUUAAUAUUAUAAUAUUAAUAAUAUUUUAAUAUUAUUGUUGCUGCUUUAACAGAAAAUGAGCCAUUUGUCCCCAUGCUCCCAAAUUACAAUGAUUUAAAUUAAAAAACUUUUGAAGGAUUUUCCUAAAUAUAUUCUUUUUUAAAGGACUAACUUUGUGCAUUCAUAUAACAACAAUUUGGAAUAAUGUGAAAAAUGGAGGCACAUAAUUUGGGUGGAAAAUGGCGAUUAAAAAUAUAUAUAAGAAAAUUAUUAGCCAUGUGUAACAUAUUUAAAUAAUGACCAGAAUAUUUCAUGAGUACCAACUCUUCCCAUAGUAAUUUUCCUCCAAAAUGCAAUAGCUCAUUCCCUCAACUGCAGACGCUUUGAUUUUUUUUCAAGUUAUAGUGCUGUAGUGCUUGUUUAUGUUUAAAAGUGCACAUUAUGCAGCUCAUUUUAGUAUGCUACUUCUAUGUUUAUUUUUUGUUCUUCUAAUAAAAUGCAUAAACUUC
This 5188-nucleotide long non-coding RNA is filed under the name Homo sapiens (human). Its description in RNAcentral is "non-protein coding lnc-RAP2C-4:1". The record is from RNAcentral. Lineage: Eukaryota; Metazoa; Chordata; Mammalia; Primates; Hominidae.